RNAcentral lists this ribosomal RNA (274 nucleotides) under uncultured bacterium. RNAcentral describes it as "partial 16S ribosomal RNA". It matches the Rfam family "Bacterial small subunit ribosomal RNA", at positions 523 to 796 of the family's 1533-position model. The record is from RNAcentral.
AUACGGAGGGUGCAAGCGUUACUCGGAAUCACUGGGCGUAAAGCGCGCGCAGGCGGCCUGAUAAGUUGGAUGUGAAGGCCUACGGCUCAACCGUAGAACUGCAUCCAAAACUGUCAGGCUAGAGUGUGGGAGAGGAAGAUGGAAUUAGUUGUGUAGGGGUAAAAUCCGUAGAGAUAACUAGGAAUACCAAAAGCGAGGGCGAUCUUCUGGAACAGUACUGACGCUGAGGCGCGAAAGCGCGGGGAGCAAACAGGAUUAGAAACCCGAGUAGUCC